Molecule: long non-coding RNA, 5461 nt
Organism: Girardinichthys multiradiatus
Lineage: Eukaryota; Metazoa; Chordata; Actinopteri; Cyprinodontiformes; Goodeidae
Exons: 5
Source: RefSeq, a predicted model, not a curated record
GUUCAAUUUCUGUAAGACUGAAAACAUAGGGACAUGUGACCGAAACAACUUACACGGCAAUGAUAUAGACGUGUAUGGAUCGCCAUUGACCUAUUGCCCCUUUUCCAUUAGUACCUAAUCCAUUCAGGUUGUCUGCCAGAGCUGGUUCUAUGGCUGUAACAGAAUAGACAAACAAGAAGACAGUUCUCACAAUAACUUGCUGAGAAGCCAGUUCUCACACUCUGUCUCUAACGCAGAAUCCCAUGGCUCCAUGACCAAGUAGGAGCAAGAAUGAACAGAAUGGGUUCAAGGAUUGACCCUUGGGAACACCACAAAUAACAAUGUGUGUUUUGCACUGUUCUGUCAAUGAGGAGUGAUAAUAACUGUCCUAAACCACCUGUAAUGGAACCAGUUUCAUCCAGUGGGUUUCUGCUGCCACCUACUAGCAGAGGUAGUUCCUGCAGGUUCUUACCAGCUAGAAGAAGAUUUUAUACGUAUCUCAUUAAACCUGCUGAAAAGGAAACUGGACUGCUUAUUAGUGGAUGGAUGGGAAAGUGUUAGCUACCUGAAUAGCUGAGUAUGUGUGAAGGACUACAAUGCUCAGUGAGGCCAGGACAGUAAAAAGACGUUCCACGUGAACCAUGGACAACGAAGUCAAACAACAAAAGCCAAGUGAUGCACAUUCGACGUCAAGACCUCGAAUCAGGGCCUGCAUAUAACAUUCGCUCAACAGUUUCUUGCUCAUCUGUAAGCUCAUCGACCAGUUUAGCUGCAGCUAAAGCUUUUGGCCCUAAGGCGGAAGCAACCAAAGCUAAACUUGAAUUUCUAGAUAGAAAGACUGACAUUCAACUACAAAAUACAAAACUUGAAACGUCAUUACGUGCCCUCAGCUUGCAAAAACAAAUUAAAGCAGUGAAUGCCGAAGCAGCUGUCUUGGAGGCAGCUGAUUUUGGAGCAGAGCAAAUUAGGGAGCAAUCAGGCUACAUUGCCUUAACCAAACAUGCACUAGCAAGGACAGAGGUCUAUGUAAGAGAGCAGUCAUUGCACGCCAGUCAGUAUGUUUACAACCAGGAAAAGACAGUCUGACUUCCCUAUCCUAUUCAGCCUCUCGGAGACGACACGCAGGCUUAUGCAGAGCCAACAGACUUUCCUCCCCUUCCGCUGGAUAGGAUGGGACACUAGAUCAAACAACAAUCUCCUACUUUCAGCCCAAAUCCUGUUAGGGGGGGAACACUGCAGAACACUAACUACCCUACAAGUAAAAUCCCUCAAUCCUCAUCUCUAAACCAGCUGACUUUGCAGUCGAAACCAGGAAUACCAGAAGGUAACACUCUUGAUCUAGCAAUGUUUUUAGCUCGUAGUCAAGUAACAACAUCUGGCUUAACUAAAUUUGACAACACUCCAGAACAUUACCAAGCUUGGCGAGCUUCAUUCAUCAGUGCCAAAGAGCCACUGGGACAUAGAGAUCAACCUCAUGGUAAAAUGGCUUGGUAAAGAGUCAAGUGAGCAUGCUUCUAGGAUUAGAGCAGUUAAUGUUACACAGCCUCUUCUGGGGCUUAAAGUGAUCUGGACCAGACAUGAUAAACUAUAUGGCUCUCCAGAAGCUAUUGAACAUGCCCUUUUCUCCAGAGUGGAAGCUUUCCCAAAAAUCCAGUCUAAAGACAGUCAUAAGCUACAGGAACUAGCUGAUCUUCUCCAAGAGCUAGAGAUUGCAAAGCAAUAUGCUAAUUUGAAGGGAUUAGCUUAUUUGGACACUGCCAAGGGCAUAAACCCAGUUGUAGAGAAGUUACUAUAUCAACUUCAGGAACGCUGGAUGUCAUGAGGUUCCAAAUACAAAAGAGGAUAUGAUGUGUCCUUUCCACCAUUCUCCUUCUUCAGAGAUUUCGUUGUCAAAGAGGCUGAGGAUAGGAAUGAUCCCAGCUUCCAUCUCUCUCUAGUCACCAGUACGUACAGGAAAGAAAGGUAUGGCCCUUCAAGACAUCCUAUCACUGUCAAUAAAACAAGUAUAGCACAGAACCAGACAUCCAUAUCUGCCAAAGCUACAGACAAGAACCUGCAUCCUGAAAGGCAUUGCCUUAUCCAUGACAAACCUCACCCGCUAAUUAGAUGCAGAGGAUUUCUUAAAAUGCCUCUUGAGGACCGUAAGAAACUCCUUAAGGAGCAUAUGAUCUGUUUCCGAUGCUGUGCUUCCACAAAUCAUAUGGCAAAAAACAAGCCUCAGUGAGAUGUUCAGAAUGUGCAAAUGAAAGACAUGUCACGGCACUUCUCCCUAUUAGUACAAAUACAAAAGUGUUUCUUGGGAAUGAUGGAAAAAAGCUUCUUUCGAGAUGACUCCAAUAGCUGGAGCGCCCCUCUACCAUUCCGUCAUCCUCGUCGCAGGCUCCCUGAUAAUAAAGAGUAUGCAGUUUAAACAUUUUACCUCACUCGAACGCACUCUCCAGAGAACCCCUGAAAUGAAAAGGCACUUCUUUGAGUUCAGGCAAAGACUGUUUGACAAUCAUCAUGCAGAACUUGCACCCCCACUUGAAGAAGAGAAAGAGCGCUGGUAUUUACCCACUUUUGGAAUUUAACAUCCGCACAAACAUGAUCAAAUCCAUGUUGUAUUUGAUUAUUUGGCACAAUAUGAUGGUGUCUCUCGUAAUGAUGUCCUACUGCAGGGUCCUGACCUUAACAACAGCCUCCUUGGAGUUCUUAGAGAUUCUGAACAGGUCCAGUUGCAGUAAUAGCUGACAUAGAGCAGACGUUCCACUGCUUCGUGGUUCAAGAGGACUGCAAAGAUAUGCUCCGCUUUCUGUGGUAUUGUGACAAUCAUCCAAACAACGAUAUGGUUGAAUACCACGAGAGUCCACAUAUUUGGAAACAGCCCAUCUCCUGCGAUUGCCAUCUAUGGACUCAGAAGGGCAGCAAAGGAAUUGGAGCAGUUUUGUGAUAGCAAAACUGUCCAGAUGAGGAAGAGGAAUUUCUACAUGGAUGAUGGUUUGCUGUCAUUCACCACUGAAUCAGAGGCUACAAAAAGAGUGGAGCAACUUCAGGAAAUGUUGGCCAUCUCCAACUUGCGCCUACAUAAGAUAGCAUCUAAUGCUGUGGAUGUUAUAAAUUAUUUCCCAGUUGAAGACAGAGCAAAGGACAUUAAAGACUUAGACCUGUUUAUAGAUGAUCUGCCAGCACAAUUAAGUCUUGGUGUCAUUUGGAACAUUAUGACUGACAUAUUCACAUUUAAGGUCCUGGAAAAUCCCAAAGCUUUCACAAGAUGUGGGGUUGUCCACAGUUAACAGCUUUUUUGACCCCCUUAGGCUUUUUGGCACCAAUCACUAUCAAUCAAAAAAAUGAUCUUCAGAGACAUUACAUCUGAAAAUGUAGAAUGGGAUGCAUCUUUGCCUCAAACAAAAUACGACAAAUGGAGUAGAUGGCAAGAAUCUUUGUCAGCCCUUAAAGAGCUGCACAUUCCACGCACAUAUGCCUCAUUUCCAGUUGCACAAGCCAAGAUUAAAGAGGUCUUUAUCUCCUCAGAUGCAUCAGUCUGAGCAAUCUCAGCGGUUGCAUAUCUCAUAUCUCAGAACUACCCAUGAAGAUGGACAUUGUGAAGCAGGUUUUAUCUUGGGUAAAGCGAAGCUUGCCCCUCAACCUGAGCUAACUGUCCCUAGAUUAGAGCUCUGUUCAGCCGUCCUGGGGGUGAAAGUUGCUGAAGCCGUUAUUCACGAAAUUGACAUGAAACUAGAUGCAGUCAAAUAUUUCACUGAUAGCAAGGUCGUAUUAGGCUACAUUCUACAUUCGCAAUGAGAAAAGACGAUUUUAUGUAUUCAUCAGUAACAGCGCAUCAGACAGGUAUCCCAGCCUAGCCUAUGGAGGUUUGUGCCCACAGAACUGAAUCCAGCCGACUGUGGUUCAAGGUCAGUGGCAGCAGCAGAGCUUGUCAACAUGCUGUGGCUUACUGGACCGAGUUCUCUCACAGAACCUAACGGGUCAGGAAUCAGUUCUGAAGAGCAGCACAUGCUCAUUAACCCAGACAAUGACAAAAACAUUCGAGCAGACGCCACCAACAUGGCCCAAGAGACUUCCUUUCCAAAAUUGCUCUCAAGCUGUUUUCAACUUUAUUUAAAGUGGAAAUCUCUCCUGAAAGCAGUCGCCAGACUUAUCCAUAUUGCUGGAACUUUCUCACACAAUAACAGUGACAGUUGUCCUGGCUGGCAUCAUUGUAACAAUGUAUCUCUAACAGAAAUGGACAAAGCAGAACGCUUGAUCGUUUGCACAAUACAGCAAGAGUGCUACUCACAAGACGUUUCGGCCAUUGAGAUGAUGAAAGGGCUCCCUGAAAACAGUCCUAUCCGCGGACUUGAUCCAUUCAUUGAGGGUGUCCUGAGAGUAGGAGGACGCUUACGUAAUUGUCACCUGCAUAAGAACAAAACAAACCCUCUCAUAAUACCCAAUAAACAUCAUAUAGCCACCCUGCUUGUAUGCUAUUAUCACCAGAAAGUGAAGCACCAAGGAAGGCAUUUGACCGAAGGACCCAUACGUGCCAGUGGCAUAUUGUUAGUUGGAGGAAAAUGGCUCAGCAGCAGUAUCAUUCACAAAUGUGUUCAUUGUAGGAAACUACGUGCCUGGUCUGAAAACCAGCUUAUGUCUGACUUACCUGAAGAGAGACUCCACCCUAUGUGGGCCUGGAUGUCUUUGGUCCUUGGGAAAUCGUAACGAGACGCACACGUGAAGGUCAAGUAAACAAUAAGAGGUGGGCAGUGCUGUUUACUUGUAUGUCCACCAGAGCCAUCCACAUAGACGUUGUGGAAACGAUGAGUUCUUCUUCUUUAUUAAUGCCCUAUGAAGGUUGUUCUUGAUUCGGGGACCUGCCAAACAACUUAGAUCCGACAGAGGAACAAACUUUAUCGGUGCCUCCAAUGAGUAAAAACUGCCAUCACAGAACCCUGAUUCAAUCAUCAAAGACUAUUUGAAUGAACAGAGAUGCACCUGGGAGUUUAACCCACCACACGCGUCUCACAUGGGUGGGGCAUGGGAACGAAUGAUUGGGGUUUCACGUCGUAUUUUAGAUGCCUUGCUUCUUGAUGUCAAGCAUUCCCAGCUCACUCAUGAAAUCCUGGUGACUCUCAUGGCUAAGGUGACUGCCAAAGUCAAUGCCAGUCCCCUGGUUCCUAUUUCUACUGACCCAGAAGCACCUUUAGUUUUAACCCCAGCAAUGCUUCUGACACAGCCAGCCUCCCCUAGUAUGGAUAUUUAAUAUGGUGACAUUCCUUAAGGAUGCCAGGAAGGGACUGUAAUGGAACCAGUUUUAUCCAGUGAGUUUCUGCUGCCACCGACUGACAGAGGUAGUUCCUGCAGGCUCUUACCAGGAAGAAGAGUUAAGUUUCAUUUUCUCUCUCUGCCAUGUGUUGUAACUAGGAGCAUGUUGCUGUUUUCUGUUCUUUGAUUUGAGUGCAAAGCGGUGGAGGACCGAUCCUGACAAAAUUAAAAAUAAAAGCAGAAAUAUAUA